GAUGAAGAACGCAGCGAAAUGCGAUAAGUAAUGUGAAUUGCAGAAUUCAGUGAAUCAUCGAAUCUUUGAACGCACAUUGCGCCCCCCAGUAUUCUGGCGGGCAUGCCUGUUCGAGCGUCAUUUCAACCAUCAAGCCCUGCUUGUGUUGGGGUCCUGCGGCUGCCCGCAGGCCCUGAAAACCAGUGGCGGGCUCGCUAGUCACACCGAGCGCAGUAGCACAUCUCGCUCAGGGCGUGCGGCGGGCUCCAGCCGUUAAAGCACCCACCUUUCGCAAGGUUGACCUCGGAUCAGGUAGGAAUACCCGCUGAACUUAAGCAUAUCAAUAAGCCGAGGA
RNAcentral lists this unclassified non-coding RNA (334 nucleotides) under soil metagenome. RNAcentral's name for it is "partial contains 5.8S ribosomal RNA, internal transcribed spacer 2, and large subunit ribosomal RNA". The stretch from base 1 to 120 matches the Rfam family "5.8S ribosomal RNA", at positions 35 to 154 of the family's 154-position model. The record is from RNAcentral.